GUCCCAAACUCUCUGACCUUUGGCUUCUUUGGGCCUCCACACUCCACAAACCAACAAAACAAACAGACUGGAGCUUCUGAAGCCUAUUGGGGUCGGCUGUGAAGACUGGGCUCCAGGGUGGGCAGGACAUGCAGCCUCUGGUGAGCCAUGUCUCUGGGUCUUGUCUUUGCAGGAAGCUGCUGUGCUUUUUCAUCGAGGCACUGGAAGGUGACAGCGAGAAUGAGCAAACAGAGUACUUAGAAGGCCAGUGCGGGCUGAGGUUUCAGUGGUUCGAGUUUUCUCAAUCCUUCGAUCAGCUGCAAGAGAGAACAAUGUGUACUGCCAGGAAGCUUAGGAUUCUCUCUGGCUGACGUCUUAUUUACACCGUGAUUUAGCCUGGAGCUUAGGCAGGAAUCUCGCCCUGGGUCCUCCGAGUGAGCGUGGCUCCUUUUAUCUCCUCUGUCUCCAGUCUCUCUUCUGGCUCGGUGGUAGGAUGGGCUUUGAGGGAGCACAGGGAAGGCAGGCCCAGUGUGAGGUGAAUGAAUGAACGCCUCAGGGAGUCUUUUCUGGCUCUGAGGCUGGAGGAUUGGUCUAGGGGCUUCCGAAGAGAGAGAACCCCCUGUACCUGCAAGGUCUGCCUUCUCGUGGUUGGGAUAGCAGCCUUUAGGGCAUACUGUGAUAAGAAGUCAAGAAGAUUAGACACAGGCUUUCAGGUGAGUAGAGGGGAAAGGAGGCAGGACAAGAUGAGCUGUUGGAGGAGACACAGGCCAGUUCAUUCAAGAAAUUAGAGCAUUGUGGAGAAACUUAAACAACACAGAAAGGCUUUGCAUAGAUAAUGCUUCAUGCCUGUAAUCCUAGCACUCGGGUGACUGAGGCAGGGGAAUUGCCAAGAAUUAGGAGCCUGUCUGGACUAUGGUCCUAGUUCACUUUGACUGUCAAUUUGACCCAGUUUGGAAUCAUUUGAGGAAAUCUCAAUUAAGGGAACGUCCAGGUCAGAUUGGUCUGUGGCUCUGUCUGUAAGAUACUGUCUUGAUUAAAGAUUGAUGUCAGAGACCCAGCCCCAGCCCACUGUAGGCAGCCAUUCGCAGGCAGGUGGGUCUGGGCUGUGGAAGAAAGCCAGCUGAGCAGGAACCAGAGAACCCUCCAGUCAGCAGCACGUCUCCAGGCCUCCUGCUUCCGUUCCUGCCGCAGUUGCUGCUCCGACUUCCCUCACUGAUGUACCAUGACCUGACAUUCUAAGUCAAGGAAAUUCUUUCCUCCCUUUGAUGGCUAUGUCUGGAAUGAGCCAAAACUCAAGUAGCUGGGUACACCUGUGAAGGAUUUUUCUUAAUUAAAUCAUUUGAAGUGGGAAGAUUCAUCUUAAAUCCAGGUCUUUUGAAGUGGGAAGAUCCACCUUAAAUGUGGGCUACAUCUGGUGGCAGCCUAUAUAUAUAAAGGGCAUAAAAGCAAGAAGCUUGUUCUCUUUGCCUGCCUGUCCUUGCUCUUGCGGGCAAUUCAUUCCUUCACGGGCAUUAGAGCCUACUUCUUUGGGAUUCCCUAGUUACUGAAGACCACCUGAGAUAUCCAGCCUCAGGGACUGAACAACUACUGGAUUCUUGGACUUUACAUUGGUGGGCAACACUUGUUGGGUUAGUUGUUCCAUGGCCUGUCAUUCUAAUAAGUCCCCACACGCUGUCAGUUUUGUUCCUUUAGAGAUCUGUGACCAGUGUACCCCCCUAAGUUGCUUUUGACUGUGGUGUUUGCCACAGAAAUAGAAAGCAAACCGGAAGAGCAGCACAGCCUGAGCGACAUAACAAAACCCUAUUUCAAGAAAGCAAAAAGGGCUGCGGAGACAGGAGGCUGAGUCAGGAGAAUUCCUAGAUGUACAAGGACAGCCAGUCUGGUGUGGACUGCGGAAGGAUAACAAAGAGAUUCCUGUCUCAAACAACAUAGAAGGCAAGGACCGAUGAACCCACAUCCAGUAACUGAUGGAAGCAGAUGCAGUGACCACAGCCAAGCACU
Molecule: long non-coding RNA, 1980 nt
Organism: Alexandromys fortis (reed vole)
Lineage: Eukaryota; Metazoa; Chordata; Mammalia; Rodentia; Cricetidae
Exons: 3
Source: RefSeq, a predicted model, not a curated record